Long non-coding RNA from Lepus europaeus (European hare), 522 nucleotides. RefSeq lists it as uncharacterized. The transcript is spliced from 4 exons. The record is from RefSeq and is a predicted model, not a curated record. NCBI's taxonomy places the organism in Eukaryota, Metazoa, Chordata, Mammalia, Lagomorpha, Leporidae.
GGCCCUCGGCCCCAGAGCGGAAGUGGCCUCCGCGGAGGGACGGAGCGGCGUUGGCCCGCCCAGCUCCCUGGUCGCUGCACCCCAGGAGCCCCGCGCGGGGAGCCCGAGACACCUGGUCUUCAAGGAACUUGAGCUCUUGCCGCUGGAAUUGGCCGUGAUUUUCACGGGUUUGACUGCGUCCCCACUGUGAGCUCAGAAAAGUCGAUAAUCAGGUCUCAGUCAUGGAUACUAGUGCACAUCUUCACCACUUGAUACAUCAGAUUGUUGAGGAUUAAGAAAGGGACUUUCUCCAUUUCCCAGUGACAGAAACCCAACAAUAUCCAUUUGUGAAAGAACUGGAUCUAGAGCUUAGAUCUUGGCGAAUUACCUGUUUUUGACAUGGAUGGAAAGCUACAAGAUAAAACUAGUUCCACAUGCAGUGAGGAACAGCAAUAUGACCUUAAAACGUGGUGGGGCUGACUUGGUACCUGUUGCCUUCAUGGUGGAGCAACUCAGCAGGCCUCUCCAUGGCCUUCUGAUUGG